CGAACUAUGAUUUAAAAUAAUGAAGUAGAUUAUUUUGCUUAAUUUGUAGGCUACUUACAUGUAAAAGUACAGCUUUAAAAAUAUACUCAAAAAGCACAAGUACAAGUAGAAACUACUUAAUUACAAUAGCGUAAGUUGUAAUUCGUUACCUCCACCACUGCAUAAGUAGUACUGAAAGUGAAAGCCUCUAUAAACGCUCGUGUGAGAGGCAGAGAGAGUCAGAGUGGAAUAAACUCAGACGGUGAGGACACACAGACCGCAGAAUUACAACCAUGAAUGCUGUAAAUGCUGUGCAACUGUUCUUUCUGGUUUUGAGCUUUACUGCUGUCUGUCAAGCUGAUGAUGAUAUCAGUGUAAGCUGUGAUGAUGUGACUGGAUCUGUGGGGAAAGAAGUAACUCUCACCUGCAACGUCUCACUACAGAGCGGUGAUUGUUCCAUUAAAAUGUGUAUGUUUCGAUACCCUAAUGACUCAGCCAUCUGUGAACAAGAGCUUCUUAAAGACUCCAGCUUCGCAUGCCGCUACACUCCAACUACAGCGAUGACAGAAAAUUUCAGCUUCUUUGUGCAAACAAAUUGUGGAAGUAAUGCAACAGAAUUCACUGUGGAUGUAACAGAGUCAUCAUUAGACGAAGCAGAUGUACGUGAAGAUAAAGGAUCAAAGGAUGAUGGAUCUAUGGAUGCUGUCAUCAGUACAGUUGUGGGCUUAUCUGUCAUCGUCAUCCUCAUCCUCAUCAUCAUCUUAAUAACAAUAAUUUGCAAAAAACAAUCUUUUGGGUGCGAGAAAAGGAUGUUUCUGUGUAUCAAACAUGAUGAUGGCAACAGUAAUUGUCCUGAACAAGUGAUAUAAUAUUGAUUCAGCAAAACAAAACUAUUGACUUUUCAAGAAUGUUUUGUUUCCAGUCAAGACUUGGAGAAACUUGUUCAUGCCUUUAUCACCAGCAAGGUGGACUACUGUAAUGGUCUCCUCACCAGCCUUCCCAAGAAGACCAUUAGACAGCUGCAGCUCAUCCAGAACGCUGCUGCCAGGAUUCUGACUACAACCAGAAAAUCUGAGCAUAUCACACCAGUCCUCAGGUCCUUACACUGGCUUCCAGUUACAUUUAGGAUUGAUUUUAAAGUACUUUUACUAGUUUAUAAAUCACUCAAUGACCUAGGACCAAAAUAUAUUGCAGAUAUGUCUACUGAAUAUAAACCUAACAGAGCACUCAGAUCAUUAGGAUCGAGUCAGUUAGAAAUACCAAGGGUUCACACAAAACAAGGGGAGUCCGCCUUUAGUUACUAUGCCGCCCGCAGUUGGAAUCAGCUUCCAGAAGAGAUCAGAUGUGCUAAAACAUUAGUAACAUUUAAAUCUAGAGUCAAAACUCAUCUGUUUAGCUGUGCAUUUACUGAAUGAGCGCUGUGCGAUGUCUGAACUGAUUGCACUGUAUCUUACGUAUUCACUGUAUUUUAUGUAAAAUCAUUUUCUAUUUUUUUUCUACUAUCUCUUGUGUCUCAAACUACUCAUUAUAUUAACUAAUAUAUUACAUAAUAACAGUUUAUUAUUGAUCUGUCUGAUCAGUGUGUAUAUUUGUAUAUGUGACUGUAAUGAACUCAAGCUUUUGUGAUCUUUAAGAGGAAACACAGAGGAACUCAAACUGUGUUUGGUUUUGCUCUUUUUUCUGACUUUAAAUGUAUGUCUGAAAUGAAUGUCAAUUUAGUACAGUGAGUGUUAAUAUGACUAAAGUUUGGAAAUUAUUUUUUUAAUAUUCUACACUUGCAGUGUUGUUUUGUACAGUGGUUCAUAUAUAAAAAUAAAAAAAUAACACAGAAAUGAAUAAAGACUUAAGGGGCACAUUAAUGCAUGGGCUGAAGCCCAGGGGCCUUCACUGGGAAGGGGGUCCACUGGCUGCAAGGAAAUUAUAUAUUUUUGAAUAAUUAUUUGAAUAUAUUGGAAUUUGCAGCAGUGUCAGCAGCAUUUAGUAAACAAAUUGAAACACUCAUUUUCAGCGAUGCCUUGGUUGUAGUUUAUAGUGUAUGGUUCAGUUUAAGUUUCCC
Molecule: long non-coding RNA, 2035 nt
Organism: Cyprinus carpio carpio
Lineage: Eukaryota; Metazoa; Chordata; Actinopteri; Cypriniformes; Cyprinidae
Source: Ensembl